Molecule: long non-coding RNA, 4789 nt
Filed under: Heterocephalus glaber (naked mole-rat)
Lineage: Eukaryota; Metazoa; Chordata; Mammalia; Rodentia; Bathyergidae
Description: lncRNA (ENSHGLG00000038004.1)
Source: RNAcentral
CCUCUGAGUCCUCGUUCCGCCUGAAAGGAGACUGAGGCCCUUUAGUUUCCUUCCCGCUCAGCACAGUUCUCCUCUGCUUGUUCAGAGCCAGAGCCAAUGGAGGCGGAGACUGGGAAUCAGCAUAGUCUCCGUGCAGUGCACAGAGGCACUGUCUGGAGGUGCCGACCUUGAGAACAGAACUUUGUCCCUCUUGGGUCCCUGUAAUGCAGGGCACACCUGGGACCUAUUUGGGACUUUGCAGGGACAGCUGCCGGUACCUGACAGGCCCGGAGCCUCCGGAUCAUCUGCAGGCCCAUUUGGAUGGCCCUGUUGGGGAGAGGCAGGAGGUGCAGCUGGAGGAGGUAGAGGAAGGACAGACAGCUCGUCUGCACGGAAGGAGGCAGCGCGGAUGUUUGCAGCGACAGAUGGCAGCAUCCGGCAGAGCCCUGGAAGCCGGGUGAGGAGAGGAGGGGAGGCCGGCCAGACUCCUCUGCAGCUCUCAGGCCUCCCGCACAAGCUCAGCCUGCCUGGCACACACGUGGAGAUUCUCCCCUCCCUGUGUGGCGCUAAGGCACCUUGGUGAGCUCCUCAUGGUCCACAUGGGCUGCGAGUGUGUGGGAUGGCCUGGGGCGACUGGAGAAGUCUGUUCACCUGGCCCUUUGGGAGCCAAGUGGAGGAGGCUCCAGAUCAGCCCCAGAAACCCUGUUCGCUGUUCUCAGUGAGGGCGUCUGCCACGAGACUGGGGCCAGAGGGGCCAUGUAGGGAUGAGGAGUGGCGGUGACUGGGAGGUGAGGAUGGCCAGAAAGUGCUAGUCUCCCAUCAUCCCUCUGUCUUGGUGAACUCCGCUGUAUCUUAGAAUCCUGCUUGACCCGGCUCUUCAGGAAGCUGCCCUGGCAGGCCGGGCUGAGCCUGAAGAUGCCUGGCCUGGCUCUGUGGCCUCUGUGAGCCCCGGCCCCUCCUGGCCUCAGUUCUAGCUGGAGGAAACAGGACUCCCUCCUCAUCCUGGGAAGGCGGUCUCUUCCUCUCAGCGGGACUUUGAAGAGGCCGUGAAGAACCCACAGGGCCCUGCAGCAGUGGAACCAGACACCCAGAUUCACCACCCUGGAGUCGUUCCCAGCCUAGCACAGAGCCUGGGAAACAGAUGGAGAAAGCGUAGGGUGGGAGGGCCCAACAUCCUGGGCGGCUGGGGAAAUGACAGCAGCCGGGAUCCCAGCACUUAGCAUGGGUCAGUUAACAAUGCAUCCGGCCCCACCCAGCCUGUGAGGAGCCCCUUCUGUUCCUCACGCUCACACACCUGAAACUGACUCUCUGCUGGGCUCACUUGUCCACACUGCUGCUACUACCACCGCCACAGGGCCAGGAUUAGACCCCAGACAACCUGGACCGGAAGUCCACACUCCCAUCCACGGAACUACAAAACAAAAUGAAAACCAUCUCUCCCUCUGGCAGGGAUGACGGAUAAUAGGUUUGAUGCCAUCAAGUGCUGCUGAGGUCACCUCACCACCACCACCACCACGGGGAGCCCACGUCUGAUUACCUAGGGAGCCCCAAGAGUUCGGGUCAGAGUGGAGCGAACAGCUCUUUCAUCUCAUCUGCGUUUAGGUUGCCAUGCAGGAAAGAGUCGUGCAUUGCUUUGGUUUGUAACUCAUUUAAAAGGAGAAUGGGGGCAGUGAUACAGGGACAGCAUGUGCGAGGCCCGAGUUGCAUCCUUAGCCCAUCCCCCAAACAGAUGGGGGAGUAUGUUGGGGAAAGGGAAUCAAAGAUGGACAGAAUGGAAGGCUCUCAGACAGUUGUCCCUGACCGUGACCUCCUGCAGGCUUUGUCUGGGCGAGGCCUGUUCUUUUAUUGGGCACAUAUGUAUUUUCUGGGGGCCCCUAGGUCCUCGGCUCUGUGCCGGGCUGUGUGCUCUCCCCAGGCACACCCAGGGUGUGUCCCGACAGAGGGGCUCCCCUUCUGUCCCUGUCUGGGCGCUCUGUGGUAACAAGGUCAGGGCUGCAGGGAGGAGCCAGUUCUGGCCAGAGCUCUGAUCUGUGACGGGCUGUUCCCCGGAGCAGCUGCUACAACAACAUUUACUUUGUACAGUGGCCAAGAGAGAGAGCAAGAAAAGGAAGAGAGAGAGAGAGAGAGAGAGAGAGAGAGAGAGAGAGAGAGAGAGAGACAGAGGGAGAGAGCACACAAGCCUACUCUAUUGCAAAAUGUUUCUGACAAAAUCUGGCACUCCUGGUUCUAAUCAAAAUACUGAACUUUGGAACAAAUUAACAUUCCACAGCCCUCACUGGGAAGGAGAAUUCAGCCGAGACGACUUCAGUUCACAACAACAAAAAUAGCUUCUCCCGGGGAAGACACAUUCUGCUAACAAGGUCACUUGUGUUUUGCUUCCCCUGCCAUCUGGCUGAGCGGCAACCAGGGGCUGGCACUGGUACCAGCGUCUUGUGUGGAGAGGGGCUGGGAACCGGGUGGUGCCGCUGAAGGCUUCUCAGCCUCCUGGCAAAGGGUGUAGGCGUGGAGUUACCUUCAGACAGUCCCAGAACUGGGGCAGAUGGAGCCCAGUCUCACCCAGCCGGGCUCAGCUUCGAGCUCCGAGCAGCAGGAGGUGUGACACCAGCACACAGCAACAAGCAGAUCUGGAGGCCAGAAGUGUGAAAUCAAGAUGUUGUCAGGGCUCUGUUCCUUCUGAGACCUUCUGAGACCUUCUUUGCCUCCUCCCAUUUUCUGGCACACCAGUCAUAUUGGAUUAAAGGCCCAAGACUCCAUUCUGACCUCAUCUUGGCUAAUUGCAUCUCCAUGACCCUAUUUCCAAAUAAGGUCACAAUCUCAGGAUGUGGAGCAGCACCCCAACCUUUAUCAAACAGAUGCUUCUAGCAUUGCUUAAUUCAGUUGCGACAACCAAAAAAUGUUAGUGUCUCCUGGUGUGUGUGUGUGGCAAAAUUACCCCUAGUUGAGAAGAAUGAGAAUAUUCAUUUAGGGGUUGGAAAUCUUAAAGUUGUAAAAAUCAUCCAAAUUUCUCUUUAUCUUGCUUUCUGUUAAAUACUUUCCUGUGUUGUAAGGCUGCUCUGCUCUGAGACCACUGGCACCGUGAGCAGAUGGCAUGACUUGGCUGUCCCCUGCUCCUGCCUCCGUGCACCUGGGACCUGUGGGUGGCCUCGUUUGCAUGGAGGAAAAAGAUAAUAUCCCUAUUUAUUACAAAGACUCAGGCAUUUGAAGGACCCAACCAAUGGUGUGACAUGUGUGGGCACAUGAACUUCACCUUGGAUGCCCCAGAAGUUUCUAGAGCUGACUUCCUUUAACUAGAAGGAAUAUGACUGUGGUCUUAGAAGAAAGACAUUACCUGGAGGAAGUUGAAAGCCAGCAUGCAGAGAAGGAAGACUACGGAAGGGCUCAGGCAGCUACACAGCUCUGCAGAACAAAAUGUUCUUGUCCAGGCCAUGGGGCCACAGGCUGGGACAGAGGGGAGGUAAGGAAGCUGCUCUCAUUCAGUCAGACCAGGUGAUGACCUGCCCCAUAUAGAUUUGGGUCUGUGCCUGGCAUGGGGAAGAGGGGAGAGUAGAGCUUCCUGUCUGGAAAUGGCUGUGGCUCUGCUUCCUUUCUACAGCCCUUGGGUUUCAGUCGGGAAGCUCCAGUGCUGUUGACUGGAGCAGGAAGCCUCCUCGGCUGCCUGUGUUCCCAGUAGAGAUUUGACCUAGGGCUUGGGUUCUGCUCCAUGAUGGAAGCCCUGCAAACUGCAAGACCAAUAUUUACUGAACCAGGAGGCUGUUAUUCUCAUGCUUUUUAAAACAUUGAGGUCAAGUUCACAUAACAUAAAAGUAGCCAUGUAUAUUAUUCAGUGACAUUCAGGCCAUUCCAGGUGUGGUACAACCAUCACCUCUGUCUAGUUCCAACAUGUUUUUAUGUCCCCUCAAAAAUCCAGUACCCAGAAGCAUCACCCCAUUCACCUGUCUGUGAACCCUGGCAACCACCAGGGUUCUAUAUUCUGUCUCCAUGGAUAUUCCUAUAAAUGGAAUCCUACAGCUGGUGGGCUCUUGUGACUGGCUUCUUUCACUUAGCAUAAUCUCCUCAAGCUUCAGCCACAUUGUAGCAUGUGUCAGUGCUUCACUCCUUUUUAUGGAUGAGCAAUACCCCCCUGUGUGGCUGGAGCACGUUUUGUUUAUCCUGUCAUCUGCUGGUGGACAUCUGGGCCGCCUCCACCUUUGGCUAUGGAGAAUAGUGCUGCUGCGAACAUUCGUGUCUCCCAUGAGCCUGUGAAGAGUCUGGAACAUUCACUCAUAGAACCCUGAAAUUAGGCAACAGAUAUCUUUGGAGGAUCAUUAUUUCAGCCUAGCACAAGGAGUGACGCCUGGUGUGUUUGCAACCCAAUAAUACCAGCUACCAAUUGCUUGCUGUGCACCAAGCUCUGUGGAUUGAAUUCUCACAAAUCAUAGUGUUUUAGUUGACUGAACUUCAUUUGAAUAAGCAUUACGAUUACGAGAUGCUUCAUCUUCCGUUGAGAGUCGUCUUCAACUGACAGCGGCUUUGCACCUGCCCAUCCUGAGUUUCCCAUUCCCUCUCUAUUCUUUUAAACCAUGAAGUGACCUGAAGAACAAAAUUACAUAAUGCUCUAGGAAAAACCAACUCUGAGUGCACUCAUGUAUUUUCCAAUUUCCAGCUUCACACAGGGAGGGCCAGCUCUUCAUGCAUUCCCAUGCUCGCGUCAGCUUAUGUCAUGUGGCCUUUGGCAGGUGAUAUCACUUCCGUGCCUGUCUCAUCAGUCCAUGAGAUGCAGGUGGCAGUACUCCGGAGGCCUGGUGAGGGUUAAAUAAGGCCACAACAUGAG